RNAcentral lists this transfer RNA (16 nucleotides) under Cerapanorpa brevicornis. RNAcentral describes it as "partial tRNA-Leu". Lineage: Eukaryota; Metazoa; Arthropoda; Insecta; Mecoptera; Panorpidae. The record is from RNAcentral.
UUUUCUUUUAUUAGAA